RNAcentral lists this ribosomal RNA (254 nucleotides) under uncultured bacterium. RNAcentral describes it as "partial 16S ribosomal RNA". It matches the Rfam family "Bacterial small subunit ribosomal RNA", at positions 524 to 776 of the family's 1533-position model. The record is from RNAcentral.
UACGGGGGGAGCAAGCGUUGUUCGGAUUUACUGGGCGUAAAGGGCGUGUAGGCGGCCAGCACAAGUCAGUUGUGAAAUCUCCGAGCUUAACUCGGAAAGGUCAACUGAUACUGUGCGGCUAGAGUGCGGAAGGGGCAACUGGAAUUCUCGGUGUAGCGGUGAAAUGCGUAGAUAUCGAGAGGAACACCUGCGGCGAAGGCGGGUUGCUGGGCUGAUACUGACGCUGAGGCGCGAAAGCCAGGGGAGCGAACGGG